GCCCGUGCCCGUGCCCGUGCCGGUGCCCGUGCCAGGGCCGCCGCUCUGGGCUGUGGCGGUGGCAGCGGGCAGCGGAGGUGCCGCUGCGCUUCGGGCGUGCCGGCAGCGCUGGCAGGGCUGUCUGUCCCGCAGGGACCGGGGCCAGGAGGAGCUGUGACCCACAGAACUGGCGCCUCCAAGCCCUGGUCGGGAUCCGUGGGCUGGGCAGCAGCACCCCGGGGCAGCCCCACAACAGACGGGGCUCCAGAAGGUGUGAAGGGUAGUUGCGUGAUGUGAGCCCUCCGUGCUCAUCCCUCACCUUCCAGGGCUCCCAGCUGGGUUCUGGCCCUGGCCCCGGCCUGGCCUGGAGGGAAAAGUCCCUUCCUGCUGCCACAGUGGGCGAGCAGGCUGCUGACUGCUGCAGGGGAGAAAAGGCUGAAGCUGCCAGAAAAAAACUGUAAGGAGUAUGUUGCCAGGGCAACAGAGUGUAAGCAGGAGCACAGCACCUUGCAGAUCACAAAGGCAAAGCUGCAGAAAGACAUUUCAGCGAGUUUCUCUCUCCCCUUUGCAAUGGCCAGGCUGAAGAAGGAAGUAUGUGGAAAUCAAUCCUUGCAGGCCACAGAAUGGGAGGUGGGGGAAGUGAAAUGAAGUACAAAAGCCCUGGGUCAUCUCACUUCGGCUGAGGAAUUCCAGGAAAUCAGGAACAAAGGCUGACACCCGAGCUCAGCUGUGCUCUGGCACUGCAUGUGACAAGUCUCGCUGGCACCUGGAAACAGCAGAAUGUGUGGGUUUGGUGGGCUGAGAGACUCAGGAAAAGGACACGGUGAUGGGGGUUUGCAGCCUCAGCUGAGAAUGUCACAGUUUUGUAGUGUGGAUACAGGCUCACAGAUGUUACUGACAUGGAACUUUGCUUUAGGAGAUUUAUGUGUUCUGCAUUUUGAGAAAGAAUUACACGAAGUAAUAGUUAACAAUAUAUGUAAAAUAAUACAUUUAAUGAAUAUAAAAAUAGUAUUUAGCCAAGCAGUAUUCUCCAUACAGGAUUACAUUGUGGCAAACACUACUGGUUUUCUCUGAGUCAGCAUCCCCCAGUCACUGUGAAUGUGAGAUAUUCCUUGCACCAGGGUUUUAGAGAGCAGUAAAAACUGCCCUGAAGCACAUUGCAGAAAUGUCUAGAAGCCACCUCCAGGAGUGGGAGGUGGCUCUGCAGAGAGCAGACGGGGACAGUUGCGUGCAAGAGAGGGGAAAGGUUUGUUUGGAGGCUUGGGCAGGAGGCCCAUAACUCACGGCGUCCCUGUGUCACCAGCUCCGGAAUGUUCCCAGGCAUGUGGAAGCAUUAACAGUAACGCAGUGCUUGGAGUCUCACUGCCACUAAUGACUAAUCACGGCACAGACCAAAACUGCAGUUCUGAAGCCCAGUUAAAAUUCUGUUGUUUUCUCAAAAACCAGAUGAGCAUUUGGACCUGAGACAUCCAAAUUCAGGGCGUGAACUGUUCCUGGCUGCAGGAACAAGAGUGUAUGCUUCUGUGCACAGAGAGGUGAGCAAUUAAUGCUGUAUUGAUGUGUUCAGUUUAUUAAUAUUUGUUUAUAAACCAAGUCUAAGGACACUGUACCCUCACUAGCAACUUCAGCUUGGUUUUUAUAAUACUUGCACUGCUAAUCCUAAACAGUAGAGGAUCAGAUAAUCCUAUGGUAUAAAAAUUACUCAAGAUAAGUUUCUGCAAUAGAAUAAUGUACAUUUAAUACAUACAAUAUAGAAAGCAAUAAAAUGCCUUUUAUAUAAUGUUAUUUAUGCAAGUAUAUAGAAUUACUCAUCUGAAUGUGUAUGUAGAUUGAGGAGUUUAGGAA
Non-coding RNA from Taeniopygia guttata (zebra finch), 1824 nucleotides. NCBI's taxonomy places the organism in Eukaryota, Metazoa, Chordata, Aves, Passeriformes, Estrildidae. The record is from RefSeq and is a predicted model, not a curated record.